RNAcentral lists this ribosomal RNA (314 nucleotides) under uncultured eukaryote. Its description in RNAcentral is "partial 18S ribosomal RNA". It matches the Rfam family "Eukaryotic small subunit ribosomal RNA", at positions 1470 to 1796 of the family's 1831-position model. The record is from RNAcentral.
CCCCUAGAUGUUCUGGGCCGCACGCGCGCUACACUGAACAGUUCAACAAGUCUUAACCUUGGCCGAUAGGUCUGGGCAAUCUUUGAACGCUGGUCGUGAUGGGGAUAGACUUUUGCAAUUUUUGGUCUUCAACGAGGAAUUCCUAGUAAACGCAAGUCAUCAACUUGCAUUGAUUACGUCCCUGCCCUUUGUACACACCGCCCGUCGCACCUACCGAUUGAAUGGUCCGGUGAAGCCUCCGGAUUGGCGCGCACCCCGGUGCCGCCGAGAAGUUGGCUAAACCUUACCAUUUAGAGGAAGGUGAAGUCGUAACA